Betta splendens (Siamese fighting fish) is the source of this 119-nucleotide ribosomal RNA. NCBI's taxonomy places the organism in Eukaryota, Metazoa, Chordata, Actinopteri, Anabantiformes, Osphronemidae. The record is from Ensembl.
GCUUACGGCCAUACCACCCUGAGCAUGCCCGAUCUAGUCUGAUUUCGGAAGCUAAGCAGCGUUGGUCCUGAUUAAUACUUGGAUGGGAGACCGCCUGAGAAUACCAGGUGCUGUAAGCU